GACAGAGGUUGCAAACGUUGUUCGGAAUCACUGGGCAUAAAGCGCACGUAGGCGGUCUGUUAAGUCAGGUGUGAAAGCCCCCGGCUCAACCGGGGAAUUGCAUUUGAUACUGGCAGGCUCGAGAACGGUAGGGGUGAGUGGAACUCCAGGUGGAGCGGUGAAAUGCGUAGAUAUCUGGAGGAACACCGGUGGCGAAAGCGGCUCACUGGACCGUCACUAACGCUGAGGUGCGAAAGCUAGGGUAGCAAACGGG
Molecule: ribosomal RNA, 253 nt
Filed under: uncultured bacterium
Lineage: Bacteria
Description: partial 16S ribosomal RNA
Rfam family: Bacterial small subunit ribosomal RNA
Source: RNAcentral